Molecule: non-coding RNA, 72 nt
Organism: Phytophthora infestans T30-4
Lineage: Eukaryota; Oomycota; Peronosporomycetes; Peronosporales; Peronosporaceae
Source: the annotation of a RefSeq genome assembly
UCCCAUAUAGUCUAGGGGUUAGGAUAGCUGGCUCUUACCCAGGAGACUCGGGGUCGAGUGCCAGUGUGUGUA